Molecule: ribosomal RNA, 253 nt
Filed under: uncultured bacterium
Lineage: Bacteria
Description: partial 16S ribosomal RNA
Rfam family: Bacterial small subunit ribosomal RNA
Source: RNAcentral
UACGUAGGGUGCGAGCGUUAAUCGGAAUUACUGGGCGUAAAGCGUGCGCAGGCGGUUUUGUAAGCCAGAUGUGAAAUCCCCGGGCUCAACCUGGGAAUGGCAUUUGGGACUGCAAGGCUCGAGUUUGGCAGAGGAGACUGGAAUUCCUGGUGUAGCAGUGAAAUGCGUAGAUAUCAGGAGGAAUACCGAUGGCGAAGGCAGGUCUCUGGGCUGAAACUGACGCUCAUGCACGAAAGCGUGGGGAGCAAACAGG